This 490-nucleotide ribosomal RNA is filed under the name uncultured bacterium. RNAcentral describes it as "partial 16S ribosomal RNA". It matches the Rfam family "Bacterial small subunit ribosomal RNA", at positions 30 to 507 of the family's 1533-position model. The record is from RNAcentral.
AUUGAACGCUGGCGGCAGGCCUAACACAUGCAAGUCGAACGGUAACAGGAAGCAGCUUGCUGCUUUGCUGUCGCGUGGCGGACGGGUGUGUCAUGUCUGUGACACUGCCUGAUGGCGGGGGAUAACUACUGGAAACGGUACCUAUUACCGCAUAACGUCGCAAGCCCAAAGAGGGGGACCUUCGGGCCUCUUUCCAUCGGCUUUGCCCAGAUGGGAUUAGCUAGUAGGUGGGGUAACGGCUCACCUAGGCGACGAUCCCUAGCUGGUCUGAGAGGAUGACCAGCCACACUGGAACUGAGACACGGUCCAGACUCCUACGGGAGGCAGCAGUGGGGAAUAUUGCACAAUGGGCGAAAGCCUGAUGCAGCCAUGCCGCGUGUAUGAAGAAGGCCUUCGGGUUGUAAAGUACUUUCAGCGGGGAGGAAGGGAGGAAAGUUAAUACCUGUACUCAUUGACGGUACCCGAAGAAGAAGCACCGGCUAACUCCGUG